CGUACCCUGCGGUGCCCGUGUGAAAGAGCCGAUUAGUUUUGAGCCAACACCUUUACAUCGGGAACCCGGACUCUGGCUGUGGCUUGCAGGCCUGCCGAGACAGGAAGCAAAAAGCAGCCGGGAGGGUACCCACCUGCCGAGAGCAGGUUCAAAACAACGGCCCCACGGCAUAGUGGGGUUUUA
RNAcentral lists this non-coding RNA (183 nucleotides) under Peptococcaceae bacterium. RNAcentral describes it as "6S RNA". It matches the Rfam family "6S / SsrS RNA". From Rfam's summary of the family: E. coli 6S RNA was the first non coding RNA to be sequenced, but its function was unknown until recently. The record is from RNAcentral. Lineage: Bacteria; Bacillati; Bacillota; Clostridia; Eubacteriales; Peptococcaceae.